ACGCACGCUGGCGGCGUGCCUAAUACAUGCAAGUAGAACGCUGAAGGAGGAGCUUGCUUCUCUGGAUGAGUUGCGAACGGGUGAGUAACGCGUAGGUAACCUGCCUGGUAGCGGGGGAUAACUAUUGGAAACGAUAGCUAAUACCGCAUAAGAGUAGAUGUUGCAUGACAUUUGCUUAAAAGGUGCAAUUGCAUCACUACCAGAUGGACCUGCGUUGUAUUAGCUAGUUGGUGGGGUAACGGCUCACCAAGGCGACGAUACAUAGCCGACCUGAGAGGGUGAUCGGCCACACUGGGACUGAGACACGGCCCAGACGCCUACGGGAGGCAGCAGUAGGGAAUCUUCGGCAAUGGACGGAAGUCUGACCGAGCAACGCCGCGUGAGUGAAGAAGGUUUUCGGAUCGUAAAGCUCUGUUGUAAGAGAAGAACGAGUGUGAGAGUGGAAAGUUCACACUGUGACGGUAUCUUACCAGAAAGGGACGGCUAACUACGUG
Molecule: ribosomal RNA, 494 nt
Filed under: uncultured bacterium
Lineage: Bacteria
Description: partial 16S ribosomal RNA
Rfam family: Bacterial small subunit ribosomal RNA
Source: RNAcentral